Molecule: ribosomal RNA, 484 nt
Filed under: uncultured bacterium
Lineage: Bacteria
Description: partial 16S ribosomal RNA
Rfam family: Bacterial small subunit ribosomal RNA
Source: RNAcentral
AUUGAACGCUGGCGGCAUGCUUUACACAUGCAAGUCGAACGGCAGCGCGGGCUUCGGCCUGGCGGCGAGUGGCGAACGGGUGAGUAAUGCAUCGGAACGUGCCCAGCAGUGGGGGAUAGCCCGGCGAAAGCCGGAUUAAUACCGCAUACGACCUGAGGGUGAAAGCGGGGGACCGAAAGGCCUCGCGCUAUUGGAGCGGCCGAUGUCGGAUUAGCUAGUUGGUGGGGUAAAGGCUUACCAAGGCGACGAUCCGUAGCUGGUCUGAGAGGACGACCAGCCACACUGGGACUGGGACACGGCCCAGGCUCCUACGGGAGGCAGCAGUGGGGAAUUUUGGACAAUGGGGGCAACCCUGAUCCAGCCAUGCCGCGUGCGGGAAGAAGGCCUUCGGGUUGUAAACCGCUUUUGUUCGGGAAGAAAUCCUCUGGGCUAAUACCCCGGGGGGAUGACGGUACCGGAAGAAUAAGCACCGGCUAACUACGUG